RNAcentral lists this ribosomal RNA (1410 nucleotides) under Triticum aestivum (bread wheat). Its description in RNAcentral is "partial small subunit ribosomal RNA". The record is from RNAcentral. Lineage: Eukaryota; Viridiplantae; Streptophyta; Magnoliopsida; Poales; Poaceae.
AUGGAUGAUACCAAUGUGAGUGAUCAUGAGCACAUAUUUGAUUCAUAUGUGGGCCGAAUCUGCUAGUGUUAAUGGGAACCGGUUAUUACUAUGGAUAUUUAUGAUCCAAGAAAUUUUGGUAGUCUUGAUAACAAAACGAGGGACAUAUUAGUUGAGAAGGGCAAAAGGGAAGAAGAAAACACUAAAUAUCCGUUGGAUGAAAAUUUAUGACAUUUUUCGUAUAUCCAUUACUCAAGAAAAAUGAGCAAUGAAGAGGUGCGUGAUAGGUGCUUAGUUUUUUCAAAUCACGCAAAAUAAGUGUUUUGUUUUUGCUGUAAGCUUUUCAAUUUUGAUAAAUGCAAAAGUGCAUUGGGGCAUGAUGAGUUUUGUGAUUGGCAGCAUAUUAGUGAGAGACCGAAAGAACAUGAAUCUAGUAUCGACCACAUUAUAAACAUAAACUCUUGGAAUGAACUGAGAAGUAGACUGAGCAAACAUGAAAUAAUUGACAAAUAGUUACAACAACAAAUCACAAAGGAGAAGGAAUGCAUAUGGCAAGUUUUACUAAGAAUAGUUGCCAUUGUGAAAUUUCUUGGUAAUCGCAAUUUGGCUUUUAGACGAUCCAACGAGCAACUUUAUGAUGAUUCCAAUAAUUUCUUAGCUUGUGUGGAGAUGGUUGCAGAAUUUGAUUUGGUAAUGCAAGAUCAUCUUAGGCGUAUUCAAAACAAAGAUAUCCAUUACCGGCCAUAGAUUCAGAAUGAGUUGAUUUCUUUUAUGGCUGCUGACAUUAGAAAUUCUAUCAUCAAGAUUUUCAAAGUGGCUAAAUAUUUCACUGUUAUCCUAGAUUGUACCCCAGAUAUGAGUCAUCAAGAACAAAUGAGUUUGUUGGUUUGAUUUAUUCAUAUGUCUAAUGGAAAAAUACAAAUUGUGGAGUACUUUCUUGGUUUUUUGGUAGUGGACGACACAUCUGGUUUGGGAAUUUUUAAUCUAUUGGUUGAUUCUUUGAAGUCCUUUGAUCUUAAUAUUGAUGACAUUAGGGGGCAAGGUUAUGACAAUGGAUCUAACAUGAAAGGAAAACAGGGGGUGCAAACUCGGUCGCUUGAGGUAAAUCUAAGAGCUUUGUAUCUGUCAUGUGUUUGCCACAGCCUCAAUCUCACUCUGUGUGAUAUGGACAAAUCUUGUGAUAAAGUUGUUAUUUUUUUUGGAAUUGUGCAACGAAUAUAUGUACUAUUUAGUGGUUUUACCAAAAGAUGGAACAUUUUUGUUAGCCAUGUGAAAUAUUUAACUCUGAAAUCUUUGAGCAAUACUCGCUGGGAGAGUCGGAUCAAAAGUGUUAAAGCAAUUAGAUUUCAAGCUCCUAACAUAAGAUCAACUCUACUUGAGUUAAGUGAAGAUAUUGGUACCGAACCCAAAGUAGAGCAAGUCUCAUAUUAG